AGUGGAAGGGAAAUCCCGCUGUGCUCGGAUCUGGUCGUGGCUUUUCCCCUCCAUCCCCUCUCUGCUGCCUCUGAUGGUGCAGGAGGACAAUCCUGGGAGCUGCCAGCCCUGUGUGCCAGGGUGGGGAAUGCCCUGAGCCUCCAGAGCUCACCGGGGGAAGCUUUGGCUGCUCCCAGGGGAUCCUCAGAGGGACCAGCUGCCGGCUCUGGGGAGAAGAACCCAAAUAAUCCAGGCUCCUUUUUGGUUUUUGAGUGGCUGCUCCCUCUGGACACCGAGUCCCUUUCACCUGAGGGAUCCUGGCCCUUUCUGCUCCUCGAUUUUCAGGGGGCAAAGCUGUUCUCCCUGAGCCCACUCCUGCUCCUGCAGCCCCACAGAGCCUGGGGCUGCUGUGCUCUGCCCCCACCCUCGGAUUUAGGGCAGGGAUUGGAGCCCUGGGCUUGUGGGGCCAUGGGGAGCAGAGCUCAGGGCUCUCCCCUUCCCUUCAUCCCAGAUUUGGGGCAGGGAUUGGAGCCCUGGAGCUGCCAGGGCAGGAGGAGCAGAGCUGCCAGGCUGUGGGGAUCAGAGCUCAGGGCUCUUCCCUUCCCUUCAUCCCAGAUUUGGGGCAGGAAUUGGAGCCCUGGAGCUGCCAGGCUGUGGGGAUCAGAGCUCAGGGCUGUUCCCAUCACAUCCCUGGGCCCCAGCUCCCGGAGUGAAGCCCAGGGAGGGAAGAGCCCGGAGCUUUUCCCCGGCUGGAGCAGCCCUAGACGUGGUAGAUGUGCUGGGCACACGGGGAACAGCGCGAGCCCGGCUCCCUCUCCUCAGCCUCCCACAGGUUGUCGUAGCUGAAGUCGCUCUGGAAGCUCUGGAAGCUCUGGAAGCUCUGGAAGCUCUGGAAGCUCUGCAGCUCGGCGUAGUCGUGCUGGGACGGACAGUCCUGGCAGGGACAGGGGACAUCGGCCAGCUCCUGGGGACCAGAGCUGCCACCUGCACCGAGAUGGGGACCACGAUAUGUAUGGGGAUAUAUGGAAUAA
Molecule: long non-coding RNA, 1010 nt
Filed under: Parus major (Great Tit)
Lineage: Eukaryota; Metazoa; Chordata; Aves; Passeriformes; Paridae
Description: lncRNA (ENSPMJG00000014470.1)
Source: RNAcentral